GACGAACGCUGGCGGCGUGCUUAACACAUGCAAGUCGAACGGAAGGGCCCUGCUUUUGUGGGGUGCUCGAGUGGCGAACGGGUGAGUAACACGUGAGUAACCUGCCCUUGACUUUGGGAUAACUUCAGGAAACUGGGGCUAAUACCGGAUAGGAGCUCCUGCUGCAUGGUGGGGGUUGGAAAGUUUCGGCGGUUGGGGAUGGACUCGCGGCUUAUCAGCUUGUUGGUGGGGUAGUGGCUUACCAAGGCUUUGACGGGUAGCCGGCCUGAGAGGGUGACCGGCCACAUUGGGACUGAGAUACGGCCCAGACUCCUACGGGAGGCAGCAGUGGGGAAUAUUGCACAAUGGGCGGAAGCCUGAUGCAGCAACGCCGCGUGCGGGAUGACGGCCUUCGGGUUGUAAACCGCUUUCGCCUGUGACGAAGCGUGAGUGACGGUAAUGGGUAAAGAAGCACCGGCGAACUACGU
This 467-nucleotide ribosomal RNA is filed under the name uncultured bacterium. Its description in RNAcentral is "partial 16S ribosomal RNA". It matches the Rfam family "Bacterial small subunit ribosomal RNA", at positions 28 to 506 of the family's 1533-position model. The record is from RNAcentral.